GUUUUAGUUGUACAUUAUGCACAAUAGACAUUCCAUUACAUUCAAGAGUGUGUAAAGUUACUCGAGUGCCAGGCCCGGUGAGGGGCCACGCAAAGCGGCACUCAGAGUCAUAGAUGCACAGGUGUGUGGGGUUUUGCGACCCGUUCGACGUGCACAUGUGGGGGGGUCUCCCCCCACCAGCAACAGAAGAACAAAGCCGACUUUUGAAGUUUCACUAAUGAUCCUUCCGCAGGUUCACCUACGGAAA
This 247-nucleotide unclassified non-coding RNA is filed under the name uncultured fungus. RNAcentral describes it as "sequence contains ITS1". The record is from RNAcentral. Lineage: Eukaryota; Fungi.